CAGGGGGUAGUUCAGAAGGAAGAACGCCGGAAUCGGGGUCCGGAGGUCGAGGGUUCAAAUCCCUCCCCCCUGACCA
This 76-nucleotide transfer RNA is filed under the name Thermotoga sp. RNAcentral's name for it is "tRNA-Pro". It matches the Rfam family "tRNA". From Rfam's summary of the family: Transfer RNA (tRNA) molecules are approximately 80 nucleotides in length. Their secondary structure includes four short double-helical elements and three loops (D, anti-codon, and T loops). The record is from RNAcentral. Lineage: Bacteria; Thermotogati; Thermotogota; Thermotogae; Thermotogales; Thermotogaceae. RNAcentral also lists the same sequence under 4 other names.